This 305-nucleotide ribosomal RNA is filed under the name uncultured bacterium. Its description in RNAcentral is "bacterial SSU rRNA". It matches the Rfam family "Bacterial small subunit ribosomal RNA", at positions 337 to 639 of the family's 1533-position model. The record is from RNAcentral.
GCCUACGGGGCGCAGCAGUGAGGAAUAUUGGUCAAUGGCCGAGAGGCUGAACCAGCCAAGUCGCGUGAGGGAAGACGGCCCUACGGGUUGUAAACCUCUUUUGUCGGGGAGCAAAGCGAGUCACGUGUGACUCAUUGAGAGUACCCGAAGAAAAAGCAUCGGCUAACUCCGUGCCAGCAGCCGCGGUAAUACGGAGGGGGCAAGCGUUAUCCGGAUUUACUGGGUGUAAAGGGUGCGUAGGCGGCAGGGCAAGUCAGAUGUGAAAGCCCGGGGCUCAACCCCGGUACUGCAUUUGAAACUGUCGG